Molecule: long non-coding RNA, 8567 nt
Filed under: Xyrichtys novacula (pearly razorfish)
Lineage: Eukaryota; Metazoa; Chordata; Actinopteri; Labriformes; Labridae
Source: RNAcentral
UUUGGUGGAGUGAUUGGCCUUCAUGAGAAACUGUCAGAUCUCAAAUAUUUUUGUUAAAGCCAUCUAAUUAGUGAGAUAGGGGCUAACAAAUUGAUUCGGGUGUCAUUUUAAAGCUCUCUUCAAGUUCUAUCUUUUUGUUCAUAACAUUUCUUCCCAAAUUGGGCCAGAAAAAAAUAAUAAAAGACCAAAAACUUAAAUUGGAAAUAGCAAAAAACGUGUGUCCUUCAAUUUUUUUCAUAUUCACACUAAAGAAAGACUAUCAUGUCUACUAGCAUCCCUGCAAGUUUCAGGAUGGGCAUUCCAUAACUUUUUGAGUAAUCAGUCCAAAUGUGUGGUACGUUAGGUCGAAAACCACCAUAUUUGGCACAUUAUACAGUCCUGACCUCAUCUGGAGUUAGCUCCACUUGCCUGCUUGUGUAAAAUAUUACUUCCUUCAUAGUGCAAAAUGCUUUUGGAAUGAUGGUUCCCGAGUCGUCUAGGUCUUCUGGCUUUCAGUACAUGCAAAUCUUUGAGAAAGAGCUUCCAAUACUUGCUCGCGGGAAUCCAGAUUUUAGGAUUCAGUCUUGGUCAAUUUCCUUGAUACAGUAAUAUGGUAGAUGAAGUGCCAGCUCAUUCUUGUAGCUUACCCGACUUGCCUCUGCUUCAAAGUGCAUCAAUAAGUUGAGACUCAGGGCAACAGAGCACCAUUAUUCACUACUCAAGAGAAAUUAUUUUACUGUAGCUCUCCUGAUAUGCUCUUUCUCAAAGAUUUGAAUGUACUGAAAGCCAGAGGACCUAGACGACUGGGGAACUAUCGUUCCUUACACUGACGCUAUCAAACUCUUUGUAGUUCAUACAUUCUUUCCUAUUUGGAAACAAACUAACAAUAUUGAAAAUCUGCACAAAGCUUGAUCACCAUGCUAAAAGUACUUUUGAAGUAUAAAGGAAACAUUGACAGGGCUCAGGAUAAAUAGCCUGGAAUACUUCACAGGGAAACCAGCAACAACAUUUCAGGGUGCAUAGGUAGAAGUUAUUUGUCAACCCUAGGAUCCAGGACAUGCAGGUAUGUCCAAGUGAUUCUGCCAUGAAGCUAAGUUCAUUCGUAUUCUGGAUAUAGGUGCAAAUAGAAAUGAAAUGCAAUGGAAAACUGAGCAAAAAUAAGCUAUUCUAGCCAUUUUUCAUAUAAAUGUGGGAUAACAUACAAAUGAAAACACCCAAAAAAAGCAUUUUGCACUAUGAGGAAGUAAUAUUUUACACAAGCAGGCAAGUGGGGCUGACUCCAGAUAAGGUCAGGACUGUAUAAUGUGCCAAAUAUGGCGAUUUUUGACCUAAUGUACCAUGCAUUUUGACUGAUUACUCAAAAAGUUAUAGAAUGUCCAUCCUGAAACUUGCAGGGAUGCUAGUGGACAUGAUAGUCUUUCUUUAGUGUGAAUAUGAAAAAAAUUGAAGGACACACGUUUUUUGCUAUUUCCAAUUUAAGUUUUUGGUCUUUUAUUAUUUUUUUCUGGCCCAAUUUGGGAAGAAAUGUUAUGACCAAAAAGAUAGAACUUGAAGAGAGCUUUAAAAUGACACCCGAAUCAGCUCUCUAGGUGCCAUACUUCCAGAGAUAUGAACACUUUUGUAAUGCAUGUCAUGCUAAUUAGCCAAAAAUUUGUUAGCCCCUAUCUCACUAAUUAGAUGGCUUUGAAAAAAAAUAUUUGAGAUCUGACAGUUUCUCUUGAAGGCCAAUCACUCCACCAAAUUUAAUCAAAAUCUGUGACGUGAGUGGAGAUUCUUGGUUGAAUUGACAUGGAAUGACCCACAUUCGCCACAGAACCGGCGAAGGUAGCGUUUGUCAUUAACCACCUGACAGGCAGAGCUCGACUAUGGGGAACAGCUGAGUGGGAGAGGCAGUCUCCAGCCUGUGCUUCCUUUGACCUGUUUGCUGCUGAGCUUCGGAAGGUUUUGGGGUUUGAGAAUUCUGGUUCUGAUUCGGCAAGGGGACUGAUGGGACUGAAACAAGGUGAACGAACAGUGGCUGACUAUUCCAUUGAUUUCCGCACCAGAGCCAGCCAAAGCAGUUGCAACAGUGCAGCUCUCUGUGAUGCCUUUCUCCAUGGGUUGGCUGAUUACAUUAAGGAUGAACUGGUUUCACGUGACACCUCCCUCACCUUGGACGGGGUGAUUGAUUUGGCCAUCUGCAUCGAUCUUCAUGUCCAGACUCGUCGACGAGAGAAGCGUCAAGGGGGAACCCAACAUUCUCGUCCACCUCGCUCCCGUGGGGGUGCUGCUGCAGCCAACACCGCCUCAUUGGGUCAGCAGUUUCAGGAUCCAGAGCCCAUGCAGUUGGGCAGCACCUCCCUCUCCUUGGAAGAGAGAGAGCGUUGACGUAAGUCCAAUCUCUGCCUCUAUUGUGGGGCAGCGGGACACUACAUCUCCGGCUGUCCAGCAAAAGCCAGAGCUCUUCAGUAGUUGGGGAGACCCUGGUGAGCUUAACUACCAUGUCACCUCCCCAAAGCCAGUGACCCCUGCUCCAAGGCCGCCUCCUCCUUCCAGAUGGCCCCCACACCUUGGCUAUCUUCAUUGAGUCCGGGGCUGAUGCCAGCAUCAUUGACGAGGAGGUGGUCCUUCAGCUGGGGCUUGAGCGGGUUCCUUUGCCUCACCUGGUUCCUGCUCGAGCCUUAGAUGGACACGUCAUGGGCACCGUCACGCAUCAGACCUCUCCUGUUCACCUGCUACUGUCUGGUAAUCAUCAUGAAACCAUCCAGUUUCACAUCCUGAGCUCUUCCUGCCUGCCACUUAUCCUGGGAUAUCCAUGGCUCUGUCUUCACAAUCCUCACAUCGACUGGGCAACUGGGACCAUCCGGGAGGGAAGUUCCUCCUGUCAUCAGAGGUGCCUGCAGCAAGCCUCAGUUCCGCUUCAUCCCUCCGGGUGUAGCUCCAGUUUGUCACCUGACCUCAGUGGGGUGCCACCCAAGAACCAUGACUUCCGCCAGGUCUUCAGUAAAGCCAGAGCCACCUUUCUGCCUCCACACCACCCCUAUGACUGCGCCAUUGAUCUCCUGCCUGGUUCAUCACCUCCCAAGGGUCGCCUGUACUCCCUGUCUGAACCUGAAAGAAGGGCCAUGGAGACGUACAUAAACGACUCCUUGGCUGCAGGCAUCAUUCGUCCCUCUUCAUCCCCUGCUGGAGCAGGGUUUUUCUUUGUUGAGAAGAAGGACAAGACCUUGCAUAGAUUACAGAGGACUGAAUGAAGAUCACAGUAAAGAACCGUUACCCACUGCCACUCAUCUCCACUGCCUUUGAACUGCUCCAGGGGGCCACCAUUUUCUCUAAACUCAACCUACGCAAUGCCUACCACCUCGUCCGCAUCAGAGAAGGAGAUGAAUGGAAGACAGCAUUCUACACCCCUACCGGACACUACGAGUACCUCGUAAUGCCGUUUGUUCUCACCAAUGCCCCUGCCGUCUUCCAGGCUCUGAUUAAUGCUGUUCUGCGAGACAUGAUCAACCAGUAUGUCUUUGUUUACCUCAUUGAUAUACUCAUCUUCUCCCAGUCCAAAGAGCAACACAUUCAUCAUGUCCAGUCCGUCCUUCAGCACCUCUUGGAGAACUCCCUGUACAUUAAAGCAGAAAAGUACGAGUUCCAUGUUCCUUCAGCAUCUUUUCUGGGGUACAUUGUGGCACAAGGCAACAUCCAGAUGGACCCAGCCAAGGUCUCAGCUGUUACCUCCUGGCCUGUUUCGGAGAACCGCAAGCAGCUUCAGCGCUUCCUGGGGUUCACCAACUUCUACCGUCACUUCAUCCGCAACUACAGCUCAGUAGCAGCCCCUUUCACCACUCUGACCUCCCCCAAAGUGCCCUUUCAGUGGUCUUCUGCAGCUGCAGCGGCCUUCCAGUUCCUCAAGGAUCGGUUCACCUCAUCGCCCAUCCCCCUGAUGCCUGACUCUGAACACCAGUUUGUGGUCGAGGUGGAUGCCUCUGAUGUUGGUGUGGGGGCCAUCUUGUCUCAGCACUCAUGCACUGACCAAAAGCUCCAUCCCUGUGCCUUCUUCUCCCGACGUCUGUCCUCUGCAGAAAGAAACUACGACAUUGGUAACAGCGAGCUCUUGGCAGUAAAGAUGGCCUUAGAAGAGUGGCGCCAUUGGUUGGAGGGCACGAAGGAACCUUUUCUUGUGUGGACUGAUCAAAAGAAUCUGGAGUACACAUGCUCUGCAAAGAGUCUGAACUCUCGCCAGGCCCGCUGGUCCCUGUUCUUUGCCCGUUUUAAUUUCACCCUCUGUUAACGUCCUGGUUCCCGCAAAGUCAAGCCUGAUGCCCUGUCCCGACAGUUCCAGAAGACAGAUGAUUCGGUUGAUGGAGCUGAGACCAUCCUCCCUACAUCCUGCCUCGUAGCCACGUUGACCUGGGACAUUGAGGAGAAGGUGAGGGCAGCCACAGAAGGACAGCCGGGCCCCAGCUCCUGCCCAUCUAACUGCCUUUUUGUUCCACCAGCCUUGAGGUCAGAGGUGUUACAAUGGGCCCACUCCUCCAAGCUCUCUUGCCACCCUGGGAUUCAACGGACACGGCAUGCCCUCCUCCAACAUCUCUGGUGGCCCACCUUGCAAGAGGACGUCCGGGAAUUCGUCAAGGCCUGUCCAACCUGCAGCCAACAUAAGACUUCCUGUCGGCCUCCUGCUGGGCUACUACAACCUCUUCUUGUUCCUCACCGCCCAUGGUCUCACAUAUCUUUGGACUUUGUCACCGGUCUUCCCAUCUCUGAUGGUCACACUGUCAUCCUGACCAUCGUGGACCGCUUCAGCAAGAUGGUCCACUUCGUGCCUCUGCCCAAGCUUCCCACUGCUAAAGAGACUGCACAGUUGGUUCGGCUCCAUGUUUUCCGUCUUCAUGGUCUCCCUGUUGAUGUGGUGUCGGACCGUGGUCCCCAGUUUUCUUCCGUGUUUUGGAGGGAGUUCUGCAGUCUACUGGGUGUUACCGCCAGUCUGUCCUCUGGAUUCCAUCCUCAGACCAAUGGACAGACUGAGCGUAUGAAUCAAGAAAUGGAAACAGCCCUGCGGUGCGUGGCCUCCCAGAACCCCUCUUCCUGGGCGUCAAAACUAUUGUGGGUUGAAUAUGCUCACAACUCCCUCGUCUGCUCUGCUACUAGCCUCUCUCCAUUCCAGUGUGCUUACGGCUAUCAACCACCACUUUUUCCAGCCCAGGAGAAGGAGCUCUCCUGUCCAUCAGUCCAAGCCUUCAUCCGUUGCUGCCGCUGAACAUGGCUCCAGGCUCGAUCCACCCUCCUCCAUUCUGUGGGUCAUUACCUACCUACCAAGCAGGUCAGCAGGUGUGGCUCUCCACCCAAGACUUACCUCUCCGGGUGGAAUCCAAAAAGAUGUCACCAAGGUUCAUUGGGCCUUUCACCAUUCAGAGGGUCAUCAACCCAGUGACAGUCCGGUUGAAACUCCCACGUUCCAUGAGAGUACACCCUACCUUCCAUGUCUCCAAGGUUUAGCCAGUCCACAACAGCACCUUGGUCCCUGCGGCACCACCACCUCCCCCUCCACGAAUGGUCAACGGCGGUCCGGUGUAUGUAGUGCGCCGCCUAAUUCAUUCUCGGCGGCAGUGUAGGGGUCUCCAGUACCUCGUGGACUGGGAGGGUUACGGUCCUGAGGAGAGAUUCUUGGGUUCCUGCUCGCCACAUUUUGGACCCCAACCUCGUGGCCAACUUUCAUCGGCAACAUCCCGACCAGCCAGCCAAUGAGUCAGCUCGUCGAGGAACCUGCACCUUGCCCCCACCUGUCCAGGAGGACUGUUCUGCGGGGGAGAUGUCAGGUGUCAGAGACUGUGGACAAUUCCCUGCUAAUGAGUCCCAGAUUUGCCUGCCCUGUGGUCCUCCGCUAACCUGCUCGCUUGGCACCUGGAAGACCUGGAUUCGAAUCCCACUAUACUCUGCUGCUUCAUUUGGUUUGGUGUCAAAUAAAGACUGUUGUUCGAGUGAACCUGCUUGUUUGUGCUGCAAUUGGGUCCAGUCAAUACCCGUUACAAAGGAGGUCUAUACCCAUGGUUAAAGCUGAUCUGCAAAGCCUGUUUCAUGAAGAAACAGCUUAUGCUCUUUUCCAACUACGUAACAGACAUUUUAAAUAAGGGGAUAAGGCAGGUAAAAUGCUUGCUCACAAAUUAAAGUAAGUGGAGAACAUGCACUUUAUACCAGCUAUUAGUGACAGUAAAGGCACACCUCAUAAUGAUAAUACCUCUCUUAACUUGGCAUUCAAACAAUUUCACUCUAAUCUUUAUACAUCAGAAUAUAAAGCAAAGGAGACCUUAAUGAAUUCUUUAAUGGGCUGGAUCUCCCAGCUCUUAGUGUCAGUGAGAAUGCAGAGAUGGAGUCUCCUACUGCUGUCACAAAUUGAGCAAGCAAUUAGCAAAUUAGCCUCAGGUAAAACCCCUGGUGAAGAUGGCGUCACUAUAGAAUUUUAUAAAAGCUACAGCAAAGUUCUUUCACCUAUCCUUUAAAUGCUCUUUAAUAAUGCAAUUGAAACUGAUUUGAUGACUCCUACUAUGCAAUGAGCCAUCAUUACUGUCUUGCCCAAACCUGGAAAAGACCAUAAAAAGAUGGAAAACUAUAGACCUCUCAGUGUUUUAAAUAAUGAUUCUAAGAUUCUAUUUCAAUGCAUAACUAUAAUUCUAAAUUAAAUUUGUAUGCUGAUGACAUAUUAGUCACUCUAAAUGAGUCAUUAUCUGCCCUGCUUGAACAAGUGGAAAACUUCAGGUACCUCUCAGGUUAUAAGAUAAAUUGGAGUAAGAGUGAGGCAAUGCCCUUGAAUCAACAUACAUUUCAAGUACACGUAGCAGGCACACUCUUUAUUUCGAAAAGCAAAGAUAUGAAAUAUUUGGGCAUAGACAUUAUUUCUGGAUUUCUUUAGUUAUCCACAUUGACAAUUGCUUGAGAGAAAGACGCAGGGAAAAUGCUCAGAUGGCUACCUCCAAACCGAGUGUAACAGCUCCCUCUGUAGGUUUGGCUAGAUCAGCUCCCCAACCAUCCUCUCCGGUUCAGCCUGUGACACCACCCGAGGAGCCCAUGCAGCUGGGACAGACGCAGUUGCAUCCCAAGGAAAGGCAAAGGAGAAUUUCCCAGAAGUUGUGCAUCUUCUGUGGCCAAGCAGGCCAUUUUCUCGCCUCCUGUCCCCUGAAGUUAAACGGUCGAGCUCACCAAUGAAGGAGAGCACCCUGGUGAGCCAAACCUCCACAACCCCCAACUCUCCUAAACGCAUCUCUGUUCCCUCCUGUCUGCUCUGGGGGAAGGAUUCUCUGUCUCUCCAAACCCUCAUUGACUCUGGUGCUGACGACAACUUUAUUCACCAAGACCUGGCUGAUCACCUUGAUCUCCCUAGAGCCCCUUUCCUUUCCAAAGAGGGUUACUGUGUUAGACGGCCGUCUAAUAGCCACCGUCACCUAUCACACUGCUCCUCUAACCCUCAUCAUCUCCUGAAACCACCAAGAAGACAUCCGGCUGUUCCUCAUCCCCUCUCCACACUCCCCCAUAGUACUCGGACUCCCCUUGUUGCAACUCCAUAACCCCCACAUCAACUGGAAGACCUCCAUCAUCAUCGACUGGAGUGUUCACUAACACUCACACUGCCUUCGCUCCGCCAAUCCCUUCUACAACCGAAAGAGGGCAGCACCAGACCAACCAUCCCACUCGGCUGUUUCCCCUGACCACCAUGACCUCCCCACCGUCUUUAGUAAGGAGCUGGCACUUUCCGUCGCCCUUACGACUGUGCCAUUGAUCUCCUCCCCGAUGCUCCCCUUCCCAGUAGCAGACUCUACAACCUGUCCCGUCCAGAGAGGGAAGCGAUUAUCUAUAAUAAUCUAUAAUUAUCUAUAAUAAUAUAUAUGAUAUCUCAGUUAAAAACAAGUAUCCCCUGCCUUUCAUUGAUCCCUCGUUUGGGCCCCUGUGUAGCGCCAGGAUUUUUUCCAAGCUAGACCUUCGGAGCAUGUAUCACCUGGUCUGGAUCAAGGACGGUGAUGAAUGGAAGACAGUGUUUAAUCCUCCUCUAGGCCACUUCGAGUAUUUGGUGAUGCUGUUUGGACUCACUAAUGCUUCAGCCCUCUUCCAAGCCCUCAUGAAUGAUGUCCUCCGAGAUAUGCUAAACAGGUUUGUCUUCGUUUACUUGGAAGAUAUCCUCGGGAGGAACUCUGGACUCCGGACUACCUUGGUGUCUGCACAUUAUUCCAAAAAUAAAACCUGUUAAACCUUACCCCUGUCUGGCUGGUUUUGGGUUCAGACCCACACCCGCCACAGUAUGGUUGGAUAUGGACAUUGCAGUGCUAUGCAGCAGACUUGUCAUUCCUUUUGCCUUGUUUAUUAUGAUAUUGAAAAAUCAAUAAAAUUGUUUAAAAAAAAUAAUAAAUGAAUAAAAACAAACAUAGGGCCAGCAGCUGAUCCCUACCAUGAACAAUGGGAGCCAUUACCACUUGCAGGUGCACAGACGCGAAGAGAAGUUGCAGAAGUUGUGCCAUGAUGUUGGAGGAUGAAAGUGAGAUUGAACGCUUGAGCAGCCUUCAGGCAUGCACUGACAGGGCCCAGUGGAUACUGUCAUGCUCCCAUAACCCCACAUUUUUAACUGU